RNAcentral lists this ribosomal RNA (139 nucleotides) under Salmonella enterica subsp. enterica serovar Dublin. Its description in RNAcentral is "partial 23S ribosomal RNA". It matches the Rfam family "Bacterial large subunit ribosomal RNA", at positions 2764 to 2897 of the family's 2925-position model. Lineage: Bacteria; Pseudomonadati; Pseudomonadota; Gammaproteobacteria; Enterobacterales; Enterobacteriaceae. The record is from RNAcentral.
AUCAGUGCUGAAAGCAUCUAAGCACGAAACUUGCCCCGAGAUGAGUUCUCCCUGAGACUUUAGGUCUCCUGAAGGAACGUUGAAGACGACGACGUUGAUAGGCCGGGUGUGUAAGCGCAGCGAUGCGUUGAGCUAACCG